UACGGAAGGCAGCAGUGGGGAAUAUUGCACAAUGGGCGCAAGCCUGAUGCAGCCAUGCCGCGUGUAUGAAGAAGGGCCUUCGGGUUGUAAAGUACUUUCAGUCGUGAGGAAGGUGUUAAGGUUAAUAACCUUAGCAAUUGACGUUAGCGACAGAAGAAGCACCGGCUAACUCCGUGCCAGCAGCCGCGGUAAUACGGAGGGUGCGAGCGUUAAUCGGAAUUACUGGGCGUAAAGGGCACGCAGGCGGUUAAUUAAGUUGGAUGUGAAAUCCCCGGGCUUAACCUGGGAAUGGCAUUCAAGACUGGUUAGCUAGAGUCUUGUAGAGGGGGUAGAAUUCCAUGUGUAGCGGUGAAAUGCGUAGAGAUGUGGAGGAAUACCGGUGGCGAAGGCGGCCCCUGGACAAGGACUGACGCUCAUGUGCGAAAGCGUGGGGAGCAAACAGGGAUUAGAUACC
RNAcentral lists this ribosomal RNA (454 nucleotides) under uncultured bacterium. RNAcentral's name for it is "bacterial SSU rRNA". It matches the Rfam family "Bacterial small subunit ribosomal RNA", at positions 340 to 786 of the family's 1533-position model. The record is from RNAcentral.